This 322-nucleotide long non-coding RNA is filed under the name Mytilus galloprovincialis (Mediterranean mussel). The record is from RNAcentral. Lineage: Eukaryota; Metazoa; Mollusca; Bivalvia; Mytilida; Mytilidae.
CAACUCUACAACAGAUUUAUCCAUCAGAUCACCAGCAAUGAUGGUGAUACAUGGCUGUGUACAUUAUGUAUAUACAACUCGUCUAACCAUCAACCCAACAAUGUUAGAUCUGUAAAUUUGCUUUCGCAAAUUUUUUGUUCUUCCCUCACCAGGAUUCGAACCCAUGCUACUGAGAUAUAUAUAUAACAUCGUGGCCACAAGUUAAAAUUUUUUUUCUGUUUAGUAUUAAAUUUAUAUUAAGAUCCAUUUUGUUACAUCUUGUGAUCAAUUUUAUUUGGCAAUCGCCAAUGGCAGUCAGCAGGGUUAAAGAACAUCAGUUGUU